AGAGCGAACGCUGGCGGCAGGCCUAACACAUGCAAGUCGAGCGCCCCGCAAGGGGAGCGGCAGACGGGAGAGUAACACGUGGGAACGUACCCUUCAGUUCGGAACAACCCAGGGAAACUUGGGCUAAUACCGAAUACGUCCGUAAGGAGAAAGAUUUAUCGCUGAAGGAUCGGCCCGCGUCCGAUUAGCUAGUUGGUGAGGUAACGGCUCACCAAGGCGACGAUCGGUAGCUGGUCUGAGAGGAUGAUCAGCCUCACUGGGACUGAGACACGGCCCAGACUCCUACGGGAGGCAGCAGUGGGGAAUAUUGGACAAUGGGCGCAAGCCUGAUCCAGCCAUGCCGCGUGGAUGAUGAAGGCCCUAGGGUUGUAAAGUCCUUUCGGCGGGGAAGAUAAUGACGGUACCCGCAGAAGAAGCCCCGGCUAACUUCGUGCCAGCAGCCGC
This 444-nucleotide ribosomal RNA is filed under the name uncultured bacterium. RNAcentral describes it as "SSU rRNA". It matches the Rfam family "Bacterial small subunit ribosomal RNA", at positions 26 to 518 of the family's 1533-position model. The record is from RNAcentral.